GGAGUCUAGCAUGUGCGCGAGUCAUUGGGACGAGCGAAACCUAAAGGCGUAAUGAAAGUGAAGGCGCGCCUCGCGCGCGCCGAGGGAGGAUGGGUCGCGCACGUCGCGGCUCCGCACUCCCGGGGCGUUUCGUUCUCACUGCGAGAAGAGGCGCACCCAGAGCGUACACGCUGGGACCCGAAAGAUGGUGAACUAUGCCUGGUCAGGACGAAGUCAGGGGAAACCCUGAUGGAGGUCCGUAGCGAUUCUGACGUGCAAAUCGAUCGUCGGAACUGGGUAUAGGGGCGAAAGACUAAUCGAACCAUCUAGUAGCUGGUUCCCUCCGAAGUUUCCCUCAGGAUAGCUGGCGCUCGCUUCGCGAGUCUCAUCCGGUAAAGCGAAUGAUUAGAGGCAUUGGGGUCGAAACGGCCUCAACCUAUUCUCAAACUUUAAAUGGGUGAGAACUCCGGCUUGCUUAAACGGUGAAGCCGCGAGUUGGUCUCCCUCACGGGUGACCGAAGGAUCAGAGUGCCAAGUGGGCCACUUUUGGUAAGCAGAACUGGCGCUGUGGGAUGAACCAAACGCAGAGUUAAAGCGCCCAAAUCGACGCUUAUGGGACACCAUGAAAGGCGUUGGUAACUUAAGACAGCAGGACGGUGGCCAUGGAA
This 647-nucleotide ribosomal RNA is filed under the name Acmaeodera lugubris. Its description in RNAcentral is "eukaryotic LSU rRNA". It matches the Rfam family "Eukaryotic large subunit ribosomal RNA", at positions 670 to 1259 of the family's 3401-position model. The record is from RNAcentral. Lineage: Eukaryota; Metazoa; Arthropoda; Insecta; Coleoptera; Buprestidae.